AUGGAGGGGAACAAAGAUGAGGCCUUGAGGUCUGUCAAGCUUGCACAGACUGCGCUAGCAUCUGGAGAUAGACAGCAAGCAGACAAAUUUAUCCGAAUUGCCCAAAGAUUGGAUCCCAGCCUUCCAAUUGUUGAUUUGUUGACCUCAACCAAGAAGUUUGAUCCCCUGAAUCUGAAUGGUACUGCUUGCCAGGACAAGACCAGAAGAGGCCAUGAAAACCUAAAAACGCCAAAAGAAUUUGUUGGUCCUUCUAAUGUUGAUAAAGGUUACACUGAGGAGAAUGUUAGAGUUAUCCGUGAUAUCAGGAAGAACAAAGACUACUAUGCAAUUCUUGGAGUGGAGAGGACUUGCUCCUUGGAGGAGAUUAGGAAGGCCUACAGGAGGCUGUCACUGAAAAUUCACCCUGACAAGAACAAAGCUCCUGGGGCAGAGGAUGCAUUCAAGAUGCUCAGCAAGGCUUUCAAGUGCCUAGGCAAUGAUCAGUCACGGAAGACCUAUGAUCAGACAGGCACCCUUGAGGGGCAUGAGUUUAACGACCAAUAUUCCAAUGUCAUGAGGCAGAGAACUGCUAGGCGAAGGAGGCAAACAAGAAAUGGCUUCUAUAAUUAUGAAGAAGAUUUAGAUCCAGAUGAGAUAUUCAGGUCUUUCUUCUAUGGUACUCGUGAUAAUUCAUUCCGUGGUCACAAUGUCUACAGAACAAGAGAAGCAGGUAGGCAGGAGCAACAGAGAAGGGAGCAUCCUGUACAGGGUGGGUCGUUCAUAAACUUAACAGUAUUGAUGCACCUGUCGGUCGUAUUACUUUUUGUCUUGUUUGCAUUCAUUCCAGUGCAGCAGCCUCAAUAUGCCCUGCACAAGACAUACAACUUCCCCAUUUCAAAAGUCACUGAUAAGCAUGGGGUGGAGUACUUUGUCAGCAAACAAGAUUUUGAUCAGCAGUUUCCACAUGGAAGUCCUUCUAGAGAUAACCUCGAGGAUCACGUUUUCAGAGAUUAUAAGACUAUGCUAGGAAGAAACUGUCGUGUGGAACUCCAUCGGCGUAAAUGGGCCAAUGACUACCCUACGCCUCACUGUGACAAGCUACGGAGCCUUGAUGUGGCAUAA
RNAcentral lists this ribosomal RNA (1101 nucleotides) under Triticum aestivum (bread wheat). RNAcentral's name for it is "partial small subunit ribosomal RNA". The record is from RNAcentral. Lineage: Eukaryota; Viridiplantae; Streptophyta; Magnoliopsida; Poales; Poaceae.